RNAcentral lists this ribosomal RNA (1343 nucleotides) under uncultured bacterium. Its description in RNAcentral is "16S ribosomal RNA". It matches the Rfam family "Bacterial small subunit ribosomal RNA", at positions 28 to 1378 of the family's 1533-position model. The record is from RNAcentral.
GACGAACGCUGGCGGCGUGCUUAACACAUGCAAGUCGAACGGAAAGGCCCUGCUUUUGUGGGGUGCUCGAGUGGCGAACGGGUGAGUAACACGUGAGUAACCUGCCCUUGACUUUGGGAUAACUUCAGGAAACUGGGGCUAAUACCGGAUAGGAGCUCCUGCUGCAUGGUGGGGGUUGGAAAGUUUCGGCGGUUGGGGAUGGACUCGCGGCUUAUCAGCUCGUUGGUGGGGUAGUGGCUUACCAAGGCUUUGACGGGUAGCCGGCCUGAGAGGGUGACCGGCCACAUUGGGACUGAGAUACGGCCCAGACUCCUACGGGAGGCAGCAGUGGGGAAUAUUGCACAAUGGGCGGAAGCCUGAUGCAGCAACGCCGCGUGCGGGAUGACGGCCUUCGGGUUGUAAACCGCUUUCGCCUGUGACGAAGCGUGAGUGACGGUAAUGGGUAAAGAAGCACCGGCUAACUACGUGCCAGCAGCCGCGGUGAUACGUAGGGUGCGAGCGUUGUCCGGAUUUAUUGGGCGUAAAGGGCUCGUAGGUGGUUGAUCGCGUCGGAAGUGUAAUCUUGGGGCUUAACCCUGAGCGUGCUUUCGAUACGGGUUGACUUGAGGAAGGUAGGGGAGAAUGGAAUUCCUGGUGGAGCGGUGGAAUGCGCAGAUAUCAGGAGGAACACCAGUGGCGAAGGCGGUUCUCUGGGCCUUUGCUGACGCUGAGGAGCGAAAGCGUGGGGAGCGAACAGGCUUAGAUACCCUGGUAGUCCACGCUGUAAACGGUGGGUACUAGGUGUGGGGUCCAUUCCACGGGUUCCGUGCCGUAGCUAACGCUUUAAGUACCCCGCCUGGGGAGUACGGCCGCAAGGCUAAAACUCAAAGGAAUUGACGGGGCCCCGCACAAGCGGCGGAGCAUGCGGAUUAAUUCGAUGCAACGCGUAGAACCUUACCUGGGUUUGACAUGGAUCGGGAGUGCUCAGAGAUGGGUGUGCCUCUUUUGGGGUCGGUUCACAGGUGGUGCAUGCCUGUCGUCAGCUCGUGUCGUGAGAUGUUGGGUUAAGUCCCGCAACGAGCGCAACCCUUGUUCACUGUUGCCAGCACGUUAUGGUGGGGACUCAGUGGAGACCGCCGGGGUCAACUCGGAGGAAGGUGGGGAUGACGUCAAGUCCUCAUGCCCCUUAUGUCCAGGGCUUCACGCAUGCUACAAUGGCUGGUACAGAGAGUGGCGAGCCUGUGAGGGUGAGCGAAUCUCGGAAAGCCGGUCUCAGUUCGGAUUGGGGUCUGCAACUCGACCUCAUGAAGUCGGAGUCGCUAGUAAUCGCAGAUCAGCAACGCUGCGGUGAAUACGUUCCCGGG